RNAcentral lists this ribosomal RNA (849 nucleotides) under uncultured bacterium. Its description in RNAcentral is "SSU rRNA". It matches the Rfam family "Bacterial small subunit ribosomal RNA", at positions 524 to 1375 of the family's 1533-position model. The record is from RNAcentral.
UACGGAGGGUCCUAUCGUUGCUCGGAAUUACUGGGCGAAAAGCACAAGUACCCGCAACAAAAAGGUAGAAGAGAAAUCCCUGCCCUCACCCUAGGAGUUGCUUUUAAAGCUUUUGUUCUGGAAUUCGGGAGAGGAGAAUGGAAUUUCCGGUGUAGAGGGGAGGGUCGUAAAUCUUGGAAGGAACGCCAGUGGCGAAGGCGAUUUUCUGGACUGAUAUUGAGGCUGAGAUGCGAAGGCGUGGGUAGCAAACGGGAUUAGAUACCCCGGUAGGCCAUGCAGGGACGAUGGGUGCUAGACGUCGGACUUUUGUUCGCUGUCGUAGCUGACGCGUUAACCACCCCGCCUGGGGAGUAGGGGCGCAAGAUUAAAUCUCAAAUUAAUUGACGGGGACCCGCACAAGCAGUGGAGCAUGUGGUUUAAUUGGACGCAACGCGAAGAACCUUACUCAGCGUUUGACACGGAAAGUCCCGGUUACAGAAUGGUAACUGCUCAGUUCGGCUGGCUUUCACACAGGUGCCGCAUGGCUGUCCUCAGCUGGUGUCGUGAGAUGUUGGGUUAAGUCUCGCAACGAGCGCAACCCUGAUCGUUAGUUACUAACAGUUCGGUUGAGGACUCUAGCGAAACCGCCGGUGAUAAGGGGGAGGAAGGUGGGGAUGCCGUCAACUCCUCAUGGCCCUUCCUCGCUGGGCCCCACACGUCUCACACUCGUAACUACACCGGGCCGCACUGCCGCGAGGUGGAGCAAAUCUCCAAAAGUUCUCUCAGUUGGGAGUGCGCUCUGCAACUCGAGUGCACGAAGUUGGAAUUGCUCGUAAUCGCGGCUCAGCAUGCCGCGGAGAAUACCUUCCC